This 550-nucleotide ribosomal RNA is filed under the name uncultured bacterium. Its description in RNAcentral is "bacterial SSU rRNA". It matches the Rfam family "Bacterial small subunit ribosomal RNA", at positions 355 to 896 of the family's 1533-position model. The record is from RNAcentral.
UAGGGAAUCUUCGGCAAUGGACGGAAGUCUGACCGAGCAACGCCGCGUGAGUGAAGAAGGUUUUCGGAUCGUAAAGCUCUGUUGUAAGAGAAGAACGAGUGUGAGAGUGGAAAGUUCACACUGUGACGGUAUCUUACCAGAAAGGGACGGCUAACUACGUGCCAGCAGCCGCGGUAAUACGUAGGUCCCGAGCGUUGUCCGGAUUUAUUGGGCGUAAAGCGAGCGCAGGCGGUUAGAUAAGUCUGAAGUUAAAGGCUGUGGCUUAACCAUAGUACGCUUUGGAAACUGUUUAACUUGAGUGCAAGAGGGGAGAGUGGAAUUCCAUGUGUAGCGGUGAAGUGCGUAGAUAUAUGGAGGAACACCGGUGGCGAAAGCGGCUCUCUGGCUUGUAACUGACGCUGAGGCUCGAAAGCGUGGGGAGCAAACAGGAUUAGAUACCCUGGUAGUCCACGCCGUAAACGAUGAGUGCUAGGUGUUAGACCCUUUCCGGGGUUUAGUGCCGCAGCUAACGCAUUAAGCACUCCGCCUGGGGAGUACGACCGCAAGGUUG